GAUGAAGAACGCAGCGAAAUGCGAUACGUAAUGUGAAUUGCAAAUUCAGUGAAUCAUCGAGUCUUUGAACGCACAUUGCGCCCCCUGGUAUUCCGGGGGGCAUGCCUGUCCGAGCGUCAUUGCUGCCCUCAAGCACGGCUUGUGUGUUGGGCCCCGUCCUCCGAUCCCGGGGGACGGGCCCGAAAGGCAGCGGCGGCACCGCGUCCGGUCCUCGAGCGUAUGGGGCUUUGUGACCCGCUCUGUAGGCCCGGCCGGCGCUUGCCGAUCAACCCAAAUUUUUAUCCAGGUUGACCUCGGAUCAGGUAGGGAUACCCGCUGAACUUAAGCAUAUCAAUAAGCGGAGGA
This 345-nucleotide unclassified non-coding RNA is filed under the name soil metagenome. RNAcentral's name for it is "partial contains 5.8S ribosomal RNA, internal transcribed spacer 2, and large subunit ribosomal RNA". The stretch from base 1 to 119 matches the Rfam family "5.8S ribosomal RNA", at positions 35 to 154 of the family's 154-position model. The record is from RNAcentral.